GGCUCAGGACGAACGCUGGCGGCGUGCCUAACACAUGCAAGUCGAACGGACGAGAUGGCUUCGGCCAUCGAGUUAGUGGCGGACGGGUGAGUAACGCGUGAGCAACCUGCCUUACAGAGGGGGAUAACACACGGAAACGUGUGCUAAUACCGCAUAAAUCAGGCUAAUGGCAUCAUUAGCUUGGCAAAGGAGCAAUCCGCUGUAAGAUGGGCUCGCGUCCGAUUAGAUAGUUGGCGGGGUAACGGCCCACCAAGUCUGCGAUCGGUAGCCGGACUGAGAGGUUGAUCGGCCACAUUGGGACUGAGACACGGCCCAAACUCCUACGGGAGGCAGCAGUGAGGGAUAUUGCACAAUGGGCGAAAGCCUGGAUGCAGCAACGCCGGCGUGAGGGAUGAC
This 396-nucleotide ribosomal RNA is filed under the name uncultured prokaryote. RNAcentral's name for it is "bacterial SSU rRNA". It matches the Rfam family "Bacterial small subunit ribosomal RNA", at positions 21 to 412 of the family's 1533-position model. The record is from RNAcentral.